RNAcentral lists this ribosomal RNA (403 nucleotides) under Verrucomicrobiota bacterium. RNAcentral's name for it is "Verrucomicrobia bacterium partial 16S ribosomal RNA". It matches the Rfam family "Bacterial small subunit ribosomal RNA", at positions 355 to 776 of the family's 1533-position model. The record is from RNAcentral. Lineage: Bacteria; Pseudomonadati; Verrucomicrobiota.
UGGGGAAUAUUGCACAAUGGGCGCAAGCCUGAUGCAGCAACGCCGCGUGAACGAUGAAGGUCUUCGGAUCGUAAAGUUCUGUUGCAGGGGCAGAUAAUGACGGUACCCUGUGAGGAAGCCCCGGCUAACUACGUGCCAGCAGCCGCGGUAAUACGUAGGGGGCUAGCGUUAUCCGGAUUUACUGGGCGUAAAGGGUGCGUAGGUGGUCUUUCAAGUCGGUGGUUAAAGGCUACGGCUCAACCGUAGUUAGCCUCCGAAACUGGAAGACUUGAGUGCAGGAGAGGAAAGUGGAAUUCCCAGUGUAGCGGUGAAAUGCGUAGAUAUUGGGAGGAACACCAGUAGCGAAGGCGGCUUUCUGGACUGCAACUGACACUGAGGCACGAAAGCGUGGGUAGCAAACAGG